RNAcentral lists this ribosomal RNA (403 nucleotides) under Actinomycetes bacterium. RNAcentral's name for it is "Actinobacteria bacterium partial 16S ribosomal RNA". It matches the Rfam family "Bacterial small subunit ribosomal RNA", at positions 355 to 776 of the family's 1533-position model. The record is from RNAcentral. Lineage: Bacteria; Bacillati; Actinomycetota; Actinomycetes.
UGGGGAAUAUUGCACAAUGGGGGAAACCCUGAUGCAGCGACGCCGCGUGAACGAAGAAGGUAUUCGUAUCGUAAAGUUCUGUCCUAUGGGAAGAUAAUGACAGUACCAUAGAAGAAAGCUCCGGCUAAAUACGUGCCAGCAGCCGCGGUAAUACGUAUGGAGCGAGCGUUGUCCGGAAUUAUUGGGCAUAAAGGGUACGCAGGCGGUUUAAUAAGUCGAAUGUUAAAGAUCGGGGCUCAACCCCGUAAAGCAUUGGAAACUGAUAAACUUGAGUAGUGGAGAGGAAAGUGGAAUUCCUAGUGUAGUGGUGAAAUACGUAGAUAUUAGGAGGAAUACCAGUAGCGAAGGCGACUUUCUGGACACAAACUGACGCUGAGGUACGAAAGCGUGGGGAGCAAACAGG